This 215-nucleotide ribosomal RNA is filed under the name Staphylococcus aureus. Its description in RNAcentral is "partial 16S ribosomal RNA". It matches the Rfam family "Bacterial small subunit ribosomal RNA", at positions 1327 to 1533 of the family's 1533-position model. Lineage: Bacteria; Bacillati; Bacillota; Bacilli; Caryophanales; Staphylococcaceae. The record is from RNAcentral.
UGGAAUCGCUAGUAAUCGUAGAUCAGCAUGCUACGGUGAAUACGUUCCCGGGUCUUGUACACACCGCCCGUCACACCACGAGAGUUUGUAACACCCGAAGCCGGUGGAGUAACCUUUUAGGAGCUAGCCGUCGAAGGUGGGACAAAUGAUUGGGGUGAAGUCGUAACAAGGUAGCCGUAUCGGAAGGGGCGGCUGGAUCACCUCCUUUCUAAGGA